Chenopodium quinoa (quinoa) is the source of this 689-nucleotide long non-coding RNA. RefSeq lists it as uncharacterized. The transcript has 2 exons. NCBI's taxonomy places the organism in Eukaryota, Viridiplantae, Streptophyta, Magnoliopsida, Caryophyllales, Amaranthaceae. The record is from RefSeq and is a predicted model, not a curated record.
GCUGAUGCUUUUUUAUUUCUUCUUAACCCUAAACCUAAUUCAUUCCUCUUUCUUUGUCCUGUCCUCUCCUCCUCUUUCUCUUUCUCUCUCCUCUCCUCUCCUCCUCCUUCCUUCUCCUUCUCAACUGACCAUCUUACUCGAGUAAUUAGUUUUUCACCGCCACAGCAACCACCGUCACAACCACAACCUCCGCCCAGCACAGCCCACAGAAAUGUCGAUCAAAGGGCCCAAAUUGACGGUAGAAUCGAGUCAGCCGCCGCUGUUCUCCUCCACUCCCUCGCUUUCUCCCACGCGCCGCCCAGCGUCCUCGAUCUCCUCCUUCUCUUUCUCUUUCUUUCUCGAUCUCCUUCUCCCUCACCUCCUUCUCCCUCGUGUCCUCCUUUCUUUCUAUUGAAGACCACCACUUGCACCACCACCAAGACCACCACAUGCAACACCAAUUCGAGGUAUGUUAUUUAGAUCGAAAUCGAAGAAACAAGAUACAAGAAUAUUGAUUUAGAUGUGAAUGAGUUUUUUUUUAUUAUUAUUUAUAUUGUAAUUUUUUUUAAUUUAUAUUGUAAUUUUUUUUUCGUACUUAUAUGUUGUAAUCGAUCUAUUUUAUUGAUGUAUAUUGUAAUUUUUUUUAUUAUUAUAUAUUGUAAAUUUUCGAUGAUAUUGAUUGUUAUUGGAUUUAUGUUUUGAUGUGGUUA